GGGCCUGUGGCUCAGUUAGGUAGAGCAGCAGACUCUUAAUCUGUCGGUCGUCGGUUCAAAUCCGACCAGGCUCGCCA
This 77-nucleotide transfer RNA is filed under the name Candidatus Heimdallarchaeota archaeon. RNAcentral describes it as "tRNA-Lys". It matches the Rfam family "tRNA". From Rfam's summary of the family: Transfer RNA (tRNA) molecules are approximately 80 nucleotides in length. Their secondary structure includes four short double-helical elements and three loops (D, anti-codon, and T loops). The record is from RNAcentral. RNAcentral also lists the same sequence under 1 other name. Lineage: Archaea; Promethearchaeati; Candidatus Heimdallarchaeota.